This 241-nucleotide ribosomal RNA is filed under the name uncultured bacterium. RNAcentral's name for it is "partial 16S ribosomal RNA". It matches the Rfam family "Bacterial small subunit ribosomal RNA", at positions 92 to 334 of the family's 1533-position model. The record is from RNAcentral.
CGACCGGCGCACGGGUGCGUAACGCGUAUGCAACCUACCUUUAACAGGGGGAUAACACUGAGAAAUUGGUACUAAUACCCCAUAAUAUCAUAGAAGGCAUCUUUUAUGGUUGAAAAUUCCGAUGGUUAGAGAUGGGCAUGCGUUGUAUUAGCUAGUUGGUGGGGUAACGGCUCACCAAGGCGACGAUACAUAGGGGGACUGCGAGGUUAACCCCCCACACUGGUACUGAGACACGGACCAG